CUGCCCCAAUUCGGGAUCUCAAUUCUCAAACCCUUUCUAACCCCAAUUCGCGAGCUCCCCAGGUUCUCUGGCGAGUAUGAAUGCUCAGAGAAUUCACUCAAUUCGCAUCUAAUACACGUCUACCCAAUUCGCGAGCUCCCCAAUUCCUUCUGCCUAUCUGGCGAGUAUGAACGCUCAGAGACCUCAAAUCAGAUUACAUAGUUCUCAGAGGAGCUGAAGAUAUGGCAGCUAAUGGAAAAUGAAACUAAUGUGUCACUACAUAUAUGUUAUUUUGCACUUUUAGAUCUGCUGAUGUUGAUACAAAUGAAAAUUUUAGUGGAGAUGGCAUAGUAUGAAGGCUUGAAGUUUAUCACUGUGGAUCGUCCUUUUGCUGAGAAGCGCUAUUGAAAAUUUGUCUGCAAAGCCCCUUUUCAAUGGAUUGGUUGUCUGCAAAGCACUAUUGAAAUUUGGCUUCCCUUAGAUACUGCCAAUGAUACUCUCUUUUCCAAUCUGCUUAGGUUAACUUUUUAGUCUUGGUUUUUAUUCAAGACUGGUGUUGCCUAGUAUGGCUGAGACAUGUAGCUUGUUACUAGUGCUUCUGGUAAACUGUACUAUCUACCAAUUUAAAUGCAGUUUGAUAUGAAGUUUAAUCAAGUA
Long non-coding RNA from Rosa chinensis, 636 nucleotides. RefSeq lists it as uncharacterized. The transcript has 2 exons. The record is from RefSeq and is a predicted model, not a curated record. Lineage: Eukaryota; Viridiplantae; Streptophyta; Magnoliopsida; Rosales; Rosaceae.